RNAcentral lists this small nuclear RNA (120 nucleotides) under Crocodylus porosus (Australian saltwater crocodile). Its description in RNAcentral is "U2 spliceosomal RNA (ENSCPRG00005006420.1)". It matches the Rfam family "U2 spliceosomal RNA", at positions 67 to 185 of the family's 192-position model. From Rfam's summary of the family: U2 is a small nuclear RNA (snRNA) component of the spliceosome (involved in pre-mRNA splicing). Lineage: Eukaryota; Metazoa; Chordata; Crocodylia; Crocodylidae. The record is from RNAcentral.
UGUCCUCCAUCGGAGGUCUAUAUUGAGCAGAUUCUUUUUGGUGUUGGGUGGUGGAACCGGAGCUUGCUCCAUCCACUCCAUGCAUUGACCUGGUAAUUGCAGUGCUUCCAGGACCGGUGC